Non-coding RNA from Pelodiscus sinensis (Chinese soft-shelled turtle), 2171 nucleotides. The record is from RefSeq and is a predicted model, not a curated record. Lineage: Eukaryota; Metazoa; Chordata; Testudines; Trionychidae.
CCAGGCGCAGCCGUGGGGGGCGUGACGCUGCAGUACCGCAUCCAGGAGCAGAGCUACAAGGAGACGCUGCCGUUCCCCCUGCAGCCGCAGGCUGGAGACAGCCUCCGUGCCACCGUUCUCCAUGCCUUCGCGGCGCUUUGUGUCCCUGGUGCCGUCGAACGACAUCUGUGUGGUCGACUGGUCUCCCAUCCUGAAAAGAGAUAACGUGCUGGAGAGACUGGAGAUCACGGAUAGUUACGAUAACUUGAUUGAGGAGCACAGCUGCCAUGCCAGUGCGUUUCAACCGCACACCAAAUCCAGCCUGGGCCUUCAGCUCCCUCAGAAGUGUCUGUCCUGGCUCCGCAGCAUCCCACAGCGCCUCUGGGGACGGCCGCAACACAAUGGCAGCAAGAGCUCCGACCCGGGGGCCCUGCCAGAGCCUGCACCCCAGAAAGACCAGGCAACGGAGGAGUCUCCCCUGCUGAGGCUGGUGUCCCUGCAGAACGCCGAUGGCUCCUGGGACCUCGGGCCCCAGCUGGUCGUCGCGCUGGGGGUGAGUGAGACAGACGCCAGAGGGAGGAUGCCCAGUGAGGACGUGGUCCCUGGCGUCUGGGCCACGGUGCUGGCCGUGGUCUGGCUGCACGGCCGGGCCGCGGGGCAGCGCGACGAGUGGGAGCUGCUGGAGGCAAAAGCUGUGGUCUGGGUGCAGGAUCGAGCAGGGCCCUGGCUGAGCGAGUGCCUGGAAGCCGCCAAUGCUUUGCUGGGCUGCAGUGUGGGCCCUGCCGUCUUUGGGCUCUGACCUCCCAGGGAUCCCUGCACCCACAAGCUACCCUGGGCCAUCAAGUGGGGGCCCUGAGGCCAGCAGUGGGCACUGGGUGCAGCCUCAGCCCAGCCUGGAGCUAACUCCCAGCAUGGAUCCCACCGCUGCCACCAAUUAGAAUUCAUGAGUCUCCUGCUACCUGCAGUGGAGCCACGGCUGCCCCCUGGCUCCAACCCCUGGCGAGCUGCUAUUCAGCAACCCCUGCGCCGCUCACAGCCACCGUCUCCUUUCAGCAUUGUGGGGGAUCGCCAGUGUCAACGUUGCAAAUUGCUUUGCUUUUUCCCCAAUACUAGAGGGGUGCCUGUCUCAACAGUCCCCGCACCCCAUAGGUGGCUGCCCUGACCCUGCUCUGCAUGAGCCACCCAGUGGAAACCAAGUCCCCUGCACUCCGAGUUCAGCUUUGGUGAAAGACAGACAGACAGACAGGAUUUCUGGGUGUCCAAACACAACCCCCUGUGGUCGUCAUGGCCGGUUUCUCCUUGCUAGAGUGUCCCGCGUGUGAACGGCAGCCCAGGCAUUCGCACCAAUGACUGAUUCGUGCCCUGCCCAGAUUUGAGCCGAGCAGACGGUUUGCAGCCGGGCAGAAUUCGGCCGGCAGGCGCGACCCCAUGGGGAAGGGCGGUAGCUGGAAGUAGAGGCCACGUGCCGUGUGUUGUGAAUCCAUCCUAGGUGCAUGCAGAACAUUUACAAAGGAACUUCUUCUAGUCCCAAGAAAUAAUGUCGGCACCCAAUUCUAGGCAGGGUUUACAGCCGAGACGCUAAGACAUGGACCAGUGUCCCCCUCCAGGGUGUGUCCGAAAAAACGUCCCCUGCGUCCAGACUGCUGCUGCCUUCUUUCGAAAGUAAAUUGAAAGACCGCGGCAACUUUUUUGAAGGCGGAAAACUGCGUUUGACGAGGAAGAACGCCUUUCGAGAGAGCCUCCUUUGAAAGAGGCUUGCAGUCUAGACGUAGCCUUAGUUACAAUUUAUGCGACGUCCAGAUCCUGUCUUCGGUGUGUUAAUCCAUCGUAUUGACAUGACGUCCUUUUCCCAUGUCAAGUAACUCAAUGUGCUGGAGGUGUCUGGUUACUUACCUAGAAACCAUGCAGCCCAGGAAUAUGCGUGUAACCUGUUGGAUGGUUAAUGAGAAAUACCCAACCAAAAGGCCGUGUCGCAUCCGUGACCUUUUAAGGCAGGCAGAGACUCUGCAAGCAGAUAUAUUCAAUGAGAAGCAGCCAGAAAAUUUCUCUCUCUCCUGGCCAAGACGUAAUAUCCCAGCAGAAGCCUGGGACCGUCCCGGAGGGAGUGAAGCCUCCUGCAGAUCCGAAGGCAUCUCCCAAGGAACAUCAUUGUCGAGUCUCCGGGAAGCGGACGCCAGCCAUCGGCAAAAUCC